CUUUGUUUCGCCGCACCGCUCUCUACACUCUCCUCCAACUUUAUUUCUUGGUGAUAAGCCUUUCAAGCCCCUUCUUUUGAGCUUUUGUCUUGCAGUCACAUCCCACUGAAGUUCUAUGUAACUCCCAAAUAUCAGGAAAGAGAUGGAGUUUAGAAAACAAGGGAGCAACCUUGGAAGUAUAUGGCACAGUCAGGGGGCUCUGUAGCAGGAUGCCAAGAAUCUCAUAUAAAGAAUACCAUGAC
Molecule: long non-coding RNA, 242 nt
Filed under: Rattus norvegicus (Norway rat)
Lineage: Eukaryota; Metazoa; Chordata; Mammalia; Rodentia; Muridae
Description: long non-coding RNA NONRATT031697
Source: RNAcentral